This 445-nucleotide ribosomal RNA is filed under the name Weissella confusa. RNAcentral's name for it is "bacterial SSU rRNA". It matches the Rfam family "Bacterial small subunit ribosomal RNA", at positions 338 to 795 of the family's 1533-position model. The record is from RNAcentral. Lineage: Bacteria; Bacillati; Bacillota; Bacilli; Lactobacillales; Lactobacillaceae.
CCUACGGGGGGCAGCAGUGGGGAAUAUUGCACAAUGGGCGAAAGCCUGAUGCAGCGACGCCGCGUGGGGGAUGAAGGCCUUCGGGUUGUAAACCCCUUUCAGCAGGGAAGAAGCGAAAGUGACGGUACCUGCAGAAGAAGCGCCGGCUAACUACGUGCCAGCAGCCGCGGUAAUACGUAGGGCGCAAGCGUUGUCCGGAUUUAUUGGGCGUAAAGAGCUCGUAGGUGGUCUGUCGCGUCCGCUGUGAAAACCCGAGGCUCAACCUCGGGCCUGCAGUGGGUACGGGCAGACUAGAGUGCGGUAGGGGAGACUGGAAUUCCUGGUGUAGCGGUGGAAUGCGCAGAUAUCAGGAGGAACACCGAUGGCGAAGGCAGGUCUCUGGGCCGCAACUGACACUGAGGAGCGAAAGCAUGGGGAGCGAACAGGAUUAGAUACCCUAGUAGUC